CUCUCUGGCUUCCCGUGGCCCCUGAACUCCCCCUCGGGCUCCCUCUGCUCGCCGGACCUCUCUGGGAUGUGACCACCCUGGCUGCGAUGUGGUAACUAAAGACAGCAAAUACUGAAGCAGGAAAGAGAAGGUCCUUCUAACAGGAGAGACAUAAUGGCUGACUGGACCGGGGGAGGGAUAGUAAGAGUGACAGUAACAAGCCGUUAAGAGUCUGGAUAUAGUUUGAAGAAAGAGCCCACAGGAUCUGUGCUAACAGAAAUGAAGGACAAUGACAAGAUUUUUGUCUAAGCAACUGAAAAAUGGAGGUACUGGUUUGCUAACAUGAGUAAAAACAACGUAUGAGGAAGAAAUAUCAGGGGCCCAGUUCUGGGUAGGUUAACUUUGUUAUUAGACAUCUGAGUGGAGAUAUUGAGUUAAGGAACCUGGAAUUCAGACGAGAGGUCAGGGCUGAAGAUAUAAAUUCAGGAGUCAUCAUAAAUUCAGGAGUCAUCAUCAGAUAUAGAUAAUUCUUAAAGGAAUGAAAAAGAAUGAGACUACCCAGGGACUAAGUGAAGCUAGAGAAGCAGGGAGCCCAAGGACUGAAUCUGGGAUACUUCCAACACGAGGAGAAAGAGAACUGGCAAGGGUGACUGGAAAGAGGCCAGGGAAGAA
Molecule: long non-coding RNA, 651 nt
Filed under: Homo sapiens (human)
Lineage: Eukaryota; Metazoa; Chordata; Mammalia; Primates; Hominidae
Description: non-protein coding lnc-BCL2L10-2:4
Source: RNAcentral